UACGUAGGCAGCAAGCGUUGUUCGGAAUUACUGGGCGUAAAGAGUGUGUAGGCGGUGCUUUAAGUCUGUUGUGAAAUCUCCCGGCUUAACCGGGAGGGUGCGGCGGAAACUGGAGUGCUUGAGGGUGGGAGAGGUAAGCGGAAUUCCUGGUGUAGCGGUGAAAUGCGCAGAUAUCAGGAGGAACACCGGUGGCGAAGGCGGGUCUCUGGGCCGAUACUGACGCUGAGGAGCGAAAGCGUGGGGAGCGAACAGG
RNAcentral lists this ribosomal RNA (253 nucleotides) under uncultured bacterium. Its description in RNAcentral is "partial 16S ribosomal RNA". It matches the Rfam family "Bacterial small subunit ribosomal RNA", at positions 524 to 776 of the family's 1533-position model. The record is from RNAcentral.